This 61-nucleotide transfer RNA is filed under the name Embiophila sp. Its description in RNAcentral is "tRNA-Thr". Lineage: Eukaryota; Metazoa; Arthropoda; Insecta; Hemiptera; Plokiophilidae. The record is from RNAcentral.
GUUUUAAUAGUUUAUAAAAAAUAAUGAUCUUGUAAAUCAUAGAAGGAAUAACCUUAAAACU